Non-coding RNA from Acanthosepion pharaonis, 100 nucleotides. NCBI's taxonomy places the organism in Eukaryota, Metazoa, Mollusca, Cephalopoda, Sepiida, Sepiidae. The record is from the annotation of a GenBank genome assembly.
CAUUGAAACACUAGUUCUCAUGCAAUCACCAAAGUUAAGCAACAUUGAACUUGGUCAGUACCUAGAUGGGUGACCACUUAGGAAGACUUAGUACUGUAAG